GAUGAACGCUGGCGGCGUGCCUAAUACAUGCAAGUCGAGCGAACAGACGAGGAGCUUGCUCCUCUGACGUUAGCGGCGGACGGGUGAGUAACACGUGGAUAACCUACCUAUAAGACUGGGAUAACUUCGGGAAACCGGAGCUAAUACCGGAUAAUAUAUUGAACCGCAUGGUUCAAUAGUGAAAGACGGUUUUGCUGUCACUUAUAGAGGGAUCCGCGCCGCAUUAGCUAGUUGUUAAGGUAACGGCUUACCAAGGCAACGAUGCGUAGACGACCUGAGAGGGUGAUCGGCCACACUGGAACUGAGACACGGUCCAGACUCCUACGGGAGGCAGCAGUAGGGAAUCUUCCGCAAUGGGCGAAAGCCUGACGGAGCAACGCCGCGUGAGUGAUGAAGGUCUUCGGAUCGUAAAACUCUGUUAUUAGGGAAGAACAAAUGUGUAAGUAACUAUGCACGUCUUGACGGUACCUAAUCAGAAAGCCACGGCUAACUACGUG
RNAcentral lists this ribosomal RNA (497 nucleotides) under uncultured bacterium. RNAcentral's name for it is "partial 16S ribosomal RNA". It matches the Rfam family "Bacterial small subunit ribosomal RNA", at positions 28 to 507 of the family's 1533-position model. The record is from RNAcentral.